UAUGGGGGGACCAUCCUCCAAGGCUAAAUACUCCUGACUGACCGAUAGUGAACCAGUACCGUGAGGGAAAGGCGAAAAGAACCCCGGCGAGGGGAGUGAAAAAGAACCUGAAACCGUGUACGUACAAGCAGUGGGAGCACGCUUAGGCGUGUGACUGCGUACCUUUUGUAUAAUGGGUCAGCGACUUAUAUUCUGUAGCAAGGUUAACCGAAUAGGGGAGCCGAAGGGAAACCGAGUCUUAACUGGGCGUUAAGUUGCAGGGUAUAGACCCGAAACCCGGUGAUCUAGCCAUGGGCAGGUUGAAGGUUGGGUAACACUAACUGGAGGACCGAACCGACUAAUGUUGAAAAAUUAGCGGAUGACUUGUGGCUGGGGGUGAAAGGCCAAUCAAACCGGGAGAUAGCUGGUUCUCCCCGAAAGCUAUUUAGGUAGCGCCUCGUGAAUUCAUCUCCGGGGGUAGAGCACUGUUUCGGCAAGGGGGUCAUCCCGACUUACCAACCCGAUGCAAACUGCGAAUACCGGAGAAUGUUAUCACGGGAGACACACGGCGGGUGCUAACGUCCGUCGUGAAGAGGGAAACAACCCAGACCGCCAGCUAAGGUCCCAAAGUCAUGGUUAAGUGGGAAACGAUGUGGGAAGGCCCAGACAGCCAGGAUGUUGGCUUAGAAGCAGCCAUCAUUUAAAGAAAGCGUAAUAGCUCACUGGUCGAGUCGGCCUGCGCGGAAGAUGUAACGGGGCUAAACCAUGCACCGAAGCUGCGGCAGCGACGCUUAUGCGUUGUUGGGUAGGGGAGCGUUCUGUAAGCCUGUGAAGGUGUGCUGUGAGGCAUGCUGGAGGUAUCAGAAGUGCGAAUGCUGACAUAAGUAACGAUAAAGCGGGUGAAAAGCCCGCUCGCCGGAAGACCAAGGGUUCCUGUCCAACGUUAAUCGGGGCAGGGUGAGUCGACCCCUAAGGCGAGGCCGAAAGGCGUAGUCGAUGGGAAACAGGUUAAUAUUCCUGUACUUGGUGUUACUGCGAAGGGGGGACGGAGAAGGCUAUGUUGGCCGGGCGACGGUUGUCCCGGUUUAAGCGUGUAGGCUGGUUUUCCAGGCAAAUCCGGAAAAUCAAGGCUGAGGCGUGAUGACGAGGCACUACGGUGCUGAAGCAACAAAUGCCCUGCUUCCAGGAAAAGCCUCUAAGCAUCAGGUAACAUCAAAUCGUACCCCAAACCGACACAGGUGGUCAGGUAGAGAAUACCAAGGCGCUUGAGAGAACUCGGGUGAAGGAACUAGGCAAAAUGGUGCCGUAACUUCGGGAGAAGGCA
This 1303-nucleotide ribosomal RNA is filed under the name Escherichia coli. RNAcentral describes it as "bacterial LSU rRNA". It matches the Rfam family "Bacterial large subunit ribosomal RNA", at positions 443 to 1748 of the family's 2925-position model. The record is from RNAcentral. Lineage: Bacteria; Pseudomonadati; Pseudomonadota; Gammaproteobacteria; Enterobacterales; Enterobacteriaceae.